RNAcentral lists this ribosomal RNA (738 nucleotides) under uncultured bacterium. RNAcentral describes it as "bacterial SSU rRNA". It matches the Rfam family "Bacterial small subunit ribosomal RNA", at positions 64 to 801 of the family's 1533-position model. The record is from RNAcentral.
GAACGAAGCAAUUUCUCACGAUCCCUUCGGGGUGACGAGUUAUUGACUGAGUGGCGGACGGGUGAGUAACGCGUGGGUAACCUACCUUGUACAGGGGGACAACAGUUGGAAACGACUGCUAAUACCGCAUAAGCGCACAGCAUCGCAUGAUGCAGUGUGAAAAGUUUUUUCGGUACAAGAUGGACCCGCGUCUGAUUAGCUAGUUGGUGAGGUAACGGCCCACCAAGGCGACGAUCAGUAGCCGACCUGAGAGGGUGACCGGCCACAUUGGGACUGAGACACGGCCCAAACUCCUACGGGAGGCAGCAGUGGGGAAUAUUGCACAAUGGGCGCAAGCCUGAUGCAGCGACGCCGCGUGAGCGAAGAAGUAUUUCGGUAUGUAAAGCUCUAUCAGCAGGGAAGAUAAUGACGGUACCUGACUAAGAAGCACCGGCUAAAUACGUGCCAGCAGCCGCGGUAAUACGUAUGGUGCAAGCGUUAUCCGGAUUUACUGGGUGUAAAGGGAGCGUAGGCGGUUUUACAAGUCUGAUGUGAAAGCCCGGGGCUCAACUCCGGUAUUGCAUUGGAAACUGUAGAACUAGAGUGUCGGAGGGGUAAGUGGAAUUCCUAGUGUAGCGGUGAAAUGCGUAGAUAUUAGGAGGAACACCAGUGGCGAAGGCGGCUUACUGGACGACAACUGACGCUGAGGCGCGAAAGCGUGGGGAGCAAACAGGAUUAGAUACCCUGGUAGUCCACGCC